Molecule: transfer RNA, 90 nt
Filed under: Burkholderiales bacterium
Lineage: Bacteria; Pseudomonadati; Pseudomonadota; Betaproteobacteria; Burkholderiales
Also listed under: 1 other name
Description: tRNA-Ser
Rfam family: tRNA
About the family: Transfer RNA (tRNA) molecules are approximately 80 nucleotides in length. Their secondary structure includes four short double-helical elements and three loops (D, anti-codon, and T loops). Further hydrogen bonds mediate the characteristic L-shaped molecular structure. tRNAs have two regions of fundamental functional importance: the anti-codon, which is responsible for specific mRNA codon recognition, and the 3' end, to which the tRNAs corresponding amino acid is attached (by aminoacyl-tRNA synthetases). tRNAs cope with the degeneracy of the genetic code in two manners: having more than one tRNA (with a specific anti-codon) for a particular amino acid; and 'wobble' base-pairing, i.e. permitting non-standard base-pairing at the 3rd anti-codon position.
Source: RNAcentral
GGAGAGGUGGCCGAGCGGUUGAAGGCACUACCCUGGAAAGGUAGCAUGGGGGCAACUCCAUCGCGGGUUCGAAUCCCGCUCUCUCCGCCA